CGAAGCUGAGCAAUUUUCUCUCAAUGACACCAAUGAUCUUGUAAAUCUUGGACCGUGCUUGCAACGAUCUUGCGAACGAUCCAUGUUACUCGGCUAGGCGUACAAUCCCUUGUCGCAUUUACAAGGCUUCACCAUCGCCAACGGCUUUCCCAAGGUCAGUCAGCUGCUCUUGGCCGCCUGGAACCUCGAUUCAACUUACCGUUUUAAAAUUUUGCCCGCUGGGUCUCUCCACACCGGAGAAUCUGUCGAUAAAUGCGAAUCCAAUGGAAACGCCAGUGCCAGCGGCAGCAGCAAAUCGAACCACAAGGAAACCGCAGAUCAUUUGGACAUGCUGCCGCCUCCUUCGCCGGCCUCGAGCACGUGCAGCGAUACCGGAAGCAUCACCACGAGUCACAAACGCGAGAAACGUAUGACCCCGAGGAGCGACGGUGAGACGGGUUCGAUGA
This 446-nucleotide long non-coding RNA is filed under the name Neodiprion lecontei (redheaded pine sawfly). Its description in RNAcentral is "uncharacterized LOC124293605". Lineage: Eukaryota; Metazoa; Arthropoda; Insecta; Hymenoptera; Diprionidae. The record is from RNAcentral.